ACCAUAUCAUAUUUGACCUCUUGCAUCUAGAGAGGUAUAGACAGAUGAUGUACAAGGGGAAUCAGUCUUUAAUAAACUGGCCUGUGUUAACCCAUAGAGAUACUUGUCCAACCAUCGUGAAGUCUCCAGGGAAGUCCGAAGAUAGAGGACAGUAGAAACAGAGCAAGUAUUUCUGAGAAAACUAAGGAUAAGAAAGUCUAUGUAUGAAGCCCAAGUAAUUAGGCCUAAAAAUAUUCUGUUCAUAUCAAGAGCUUUGAGCCUAUCAUGGACAUUUAGUAUCUUUGCUGAUCCCUUUAUUCCAUUGUAUCACUUUUUUUCUGUGUCCUGCAGAAUGCCUAGCAGAUUCUUUCAUGAAGCAGGAACCCCGAAGGACCUUCUCAAGUUUAGACAAGUUCAGCAGUCAUUUCUCUGUGGGUCCUACAUUCCAGUUAAGCAGUUCAGGAGUGAUUGUUUAGAGUUGUAAUCAUCAUUUUGCAUCUAACAUGAAGCAAUCAACAGCUGUUUUCACCUGUCUUUUCAGGGAGGUGACACUAGUGACAGAGUGGUUUGCUUCUGAAGGGGUUAAGACUGAAAGAUUGAACACCAUGGUGGUCCCACCUAUUAAUUGUUGA
Microtus oregoni (creeping vole) is the source of this 611-nucleotide long non-coding RNA. RefSeq lists it as uncharacterized. Lineage: Eukaryota; Metazoa; Chordata; Mammalia; Rodentia; Cricetidae. The transcript is spliced from 4 exons. The record is from RefSeq and is a predicted model, not a curated record.